CGAGUGGAUUCCUUAUCCUGAUGUACAAAUGUGACGUCCUCCAGACUUGACUUACAGUACACGAAUCUGACUUUACGUAAAAACCUCCCAUGGAUCCUAUAAUAAAAUUCAGUAAGGUUUAAGGUAUGAAGAGUCCCUGUGCCUUAGAAAAUGACAGAAUGGCACUGGAGUAUGACAGCAGACCUUUAGGUGAGACAAGCACCAAAACCAUGAGCAAUACAGGAG
Non-coding RNA from Lepisosteus oculatus (spotted gar), 225 nucleotides. Lineage: Eukaryota; Metazoa; Chordata; Actinopteri; Semionotiformes; Lepisosteidae. The record is from RefSeq and is a predicted model, not a curated record.